This 253-nucleotide ribosomal RNA is filed under the name uncultured bacterium. RNAcentral describes it as "partial 16S ribosomal RNA". It matches the Rfam family "Bacterial small subunit ribosomal RNA", at positions 524 to 776 of the family's 1533-position model. The record is from RNAcentral.
UACAGAGGGUGCAAGCGUUAAUCGGAUUUACUGGGCGUAAAGCGUGCGUAGGCGGUUCGUUAAGUCGGUUGUGAAAGCCCUGGGCUCAACCUGGGAAUUGCAGUCGAUACUGGCGGGCUAGAGAACGGUAGAGGGAGGCGGAACUCCAGGUGUAGCAGUGAAAUGCGUAGAUAUCUGGAAGAACACCGAUGGCGAAGGCAACCUCCUGGGCCUGUUCUGACGCUGAGGCACGAAAGCGUGGGGAGCAAACAGG